RNAcentral lists this ribosomal RNA (510 nucleotides) under uncultured bacterium. RNAcentral describes it as "partial 16S ribosomal RNA". It matches the Rfam family "Bacterial small subunit ribosomal RNA", at positions 28 to 507 of the family's 1533-position model. The record is from RNAcentral.
GACGAACGCUGGCGGCGUGCUUAACACAUGCAAGUCGAACGAAGAGCGAUGGAAGCUUGCUUCUAUCAAUCUUAGUGGCGAACGGGUGAGUAACGCGUAAUCAACCUGCCCUUCAGAGGGGGACAACAGUUGGAAACGACUGCUAAUACCGCAUACGAUCUAAUCUCGGCAUCGAGGAUAGAGGAAAGGUGGCCUCUAUGUAUAAGCUAUCACUGAAGGAGGGGAUUGCGUCUGAUUAGCUAGUUGGAGGGGUAACGGCCCACCAAGGCGAUGAUCAGUAGCCGGUCUGAGAGGAUGAACGGCCACAUUGGGACUGAGACACGGCCCAGACUCAUACGGGAGGCAGCAGUGGGGAAUCUUGCGCAAUGGACGAAAGUCUGACGGAGCAACGCCGCGUGAGUGAUGACGGCCUUCGGGUUGUAAAGCUCUGUUAAUCGGGACGAAAGGCCUUCUUGCGAAUAGUGAGAAGGAUUGACGGUACCGGAAUAGAAAGCCACGGCUAACUACGUG